CGGUAGAUCCCUAGAUUAGAAGUCUCUGCAUUUUUUGAGAUACUUUGCCUUACCUCAGAUACAUGUCCUCAUCUCCAAAUGAGUGAGCUACAGAACCUGUUAGAUGCGGAGUUUCUAUUGGCCCAGAUCAGAUGUGUUCUGUCAAGUUUUAAGAUUGGAUAGUUGUUCUUGCCAGUCUAUUACAACUUUCCGAGAUCUAUCAGACAUUAGCAUAACAGGAGUUUUCCUGCAAUGGUUCAGCUUCUCUCCAGCACGCUUUAUUUCAAGCGUUUUUCCCUACUUAAUGUUCUAGGAGGGAUUGACGAGGAAGAAAAGGGUGUGUCUUUACAUACGACGCUGUUGGAUCAUAUGAGCGAGUUGGAUACGGUGCACAAGGUUCUGGUUCCACACUUAUCAUGCCUUUCCUUGACAACCAGCUCAAAUCGCAAGUCCCCUUCUGCGCUACCUAAACAGGCUUGUUGAUAUUCUUCAUUUUUCUUUUUCUUAUAAAUCCGACCAUGUACUCACACGUCUGUUUUUGGUAGGUGCAUGUAUUCUUGGCCAUGGAAGAUACACAAGGAUCUAAGUGAAGAGUCGAGAUGUUUGUUCUGUUGGCUGGUGGGGACUCGAGGAGGCUGCUUGCAGAGCCAAACUCAAAAGGCCAAGGUUUUUAACUGCUGACAAAGAUAGACGGUGAUUCAAGAGGUGGUGCUGCUUUGAGUCUCAAGGAAGUUUUUGUUAGUCUCAAGGAAGUUACUUUGUUAAUGUGAAAUGUUUCGAAUUGUACAUUAAGUAUAUAAAUGGCUGAGGACAGAGAGCUAUUCGAACCAGUAGCUACAAAACAAAGCAAGCCGCAGGAAAUAUCAAGUUACUCUUACCGAAGCAAGCACAUGCAUUUAGGUGUGGAGAAUUAGGGUUCCUGGAGCUUCGUACUCAAAGCCAUGUGUCCUUAUUUAUCUAUGGGCCAAUUUACUCGGUCAGGAUUGAUAGAAUUGCUCGUGUUGCCUUCGAUGCUGCUCGGAAACGGCGUGACAAGCUGUGUUCUGCUGCAAAAGCUAAUAUAUUGGAAGCCUCAAUUUUAU
Non-coding RNA from Camelina sativa (false flax), 1061 nucleotides. Lineage: Eukaryota; Viridiplantae; Streptophyta; Magnoliopsida; Brassicales; Brassicaceae. The record is from RefSeq and is a predicted model, not a curated record.